This 4047-nucleotide long non-coding RNA is filed under the name Cricetulus griseus (Chinese hamster). RNAcentral's name for it is "lncRNA (ENSCGRG00015035099.1)". The record is from RNAcentral. Lineage: Eukaryota; Metazoa; Chordata; Mammalia; Rodentia; Cricetidae.
AUUGUACUUAACUGAAUUUUAUAACGCUGAUCGAUAUCUUGGUAAAAUAUUCAUUUUUAAACUAGCGGGCAGUGAAAUCUUUGCUUUGUGUGCUAAAGUCAACAGUCGCUCGGUUUGAGCUCAAAUAAAUGCAGGGAUGCCUCGGCUGGGAGCAGUCCGCCGCCUCCCUUCGAGCGCAGGACGCUCCGACGCCCGCCUGCCCGCAGGCCACCGCAGAUUGUUUGGAGAAGUUCAGUACAACGUUGAAAGUAUUUCUGGACAAAAAUCACAAAUGUUAUCUGUGGGAGAGGGAUUUACUUUUCUGCCUUCACAUUGGGAGUGUAAAGCGGCUUUCCCGAACUUUCCCUGUGCUGGUACACAGGGUCUCCAUAAACCAGCCCGCCACCUGGGAACCCAGAUCAUCACUUUUCUUAAAUAUCAAAUUGCCCCGAUUAGCAACGUGUCCCUAAAGUCAGGACUGCUUCAGCAUCCCGGAUUCACUUUCGGAGCUGAGCCGCGGUUGCUGUCCGGGGCCCUAGAAGCAGCGCAUCUUGCAACUCGAGCGGGCUAGGACUCCCAAUCUGUGGGUUGGCUAGCGGAGCCGCCAGUGCGACCCUGGCUGUUUCCAGCUCGCCGACCACUGGCCACAGAGAUGCGCCAAACCCCUGAGAGCCAGCGGGCCCAGGUGAAACGCUUCUCCUCUGUGCUCUCAAAGCUUACUGGGACUCCGCCGGGCCCAAAGAAAAGGCAAGUGCCCUCCCAGUGUCGGGAAGAAGGAGUAAAUAAAAGAGUUAGAGAAGCAGGCUCGCGGCAGGUGAGAGUGGCAACCUUUGGUUAUGCGAUCCAAAUUCUAGAAUGUGAGGAACCCACCCUCGUCGGUCUUGAUAGCUAGUUGGGCGAGACUGGACCUGCUCCGCUGCCCCCACAGUGGGCAAGACACUUUUCUUCUCUUCCACCCCUCCCCCACGACCUUCGGGUCCCUGGGAAAACCAAACUUGGGUCUCUGCUUCAGGUGCCAAGGUCAGCAGUUUUCGGAGACAGCCUUGGGCCAAGGGGACCCCCACAGUGGCCAGGCUGUGCUAACGCGGUGUAGGAAAAAUUUUCACGUUUUUUGGUGACCUCUGCGGAUUUUCGUUUUGCCCUUCCUGUCCACCCACUCCGGGCCCAAGCAGCCUUGCCUCUAGCCCACAGUCGCAAAGAGCGUUCUGACUUUUUCUUCUCUGGGGAGGAAGACAGUUGAUGGCCUGUGUGUCAUUCCUUUCUCCCUUCUGCCUUUCCCAGACCUGGUGGUCCGAAGGGCAGCCCCAGUUAAAGAAUGAUAACUCCUGUCCAGCCGUGGGCAGGCGUGGAAGCCGGUUUUUACUUGAAACCUGCCGGUCUGUUUCUUUUUCAGGAACCCCACCGGUGCAGAGCAGGGACACUGCGCCAAGAAGACAGCCCCCGAGGCUCCUGGGCAGAUCCCCUCAUUCUGAAAGGAUUCCUUUGAGACUUUGCUGUUGAGGGAGCCAUUUUUUCAUCAUUCUUGCUUGUGUUUGGAAUUGCUGCAAAGUUGGAUUUGCUUAUUCAUAGCUACUGGAACAAAAAGAUGAGCCAGAGGGAAGACAUUGGCAGGUCUGUUUGCCUAAGAGAACCAUGUGACUUUGGAAGCACAGAAGCUUCUCCCCACACUGAACUUUGACCCUCACAAGAAUGUCCCCAAAGGGCCAUCAUGACACUACAGAUAGCCCUACAUACUCUACUCAGUGUUUACUGCAGCUAAACGAAGGAAUGAGGCAAAACAAGGCUGACUUAUAGAGAAGUGGCGGUGGUCCUGCCCCGGGUGGGUGCUGUGCUGUAUGCAAAUGCAGACAACUGAAGGAUUAUACACAAUGGAGCAUCAGCCAUGAGAAUUCUCAGUGGAAAGAUCUUAAAAUAAAAAGUGUUGAUUUGACCACCCCACAGAACUGAAGUUAUCCAAGUUAUUUAAUCUACCCCAAGUUACCAAAUCUUAUGGGGAAUAAACAGUGGUGUUGUGUGUGUGUGUGUGUGUGUGUGUGUGUGUGUGUGUGUGUGUGUGACUCAUUGCUAGAAAUCUUUUAUCAUAAGACCCAAGGAAUGACGUGAGAUAGGAGAUUGCUUCAAUGGCCAGGAGGUAUUUACCAACUCGAUGAAUUUUGUGGUGAAAAGUGGCUGGCUACCCAUAUCUUGGGGACCUUCCUUUGUUGGUCUGACAAUGUUGGAAGUUAAUCCAUACUUCUUAGAAAGAUGAACAGGACAAGAAUAGAAAAACUCCUGGAAGACUAUCUUGGAAGGGCAGGGCAGGCUGACCAAUAAGCUCCUGGGAGGUCAGGUAAAGCAGGAUUUACCAAAACCCAGGCCACACUCAACACCUAUUGACUAGUCAGGGACUAAGGAUGCCACACCUACAGUGAUGUUUUUCUACAUUGCAAAUGUGGAGAGACUUUUUCUGUUCCUUAUUCCCAGGUGAAGAAGGACAUACAGAGAAUGAAACCCAACCUGCUUAAAGCAAAACACACCAACCCCAGCGUGCAGCCUGCCACCUCCUCUUCCCUUAUGAAGGCCUUUGCAAGCUGGGGGGUGGGGGCUAUAUGUGCGAAUUUUCAGAGUGCUUUGUUUCUGUGGAGAGGAUUCCAGAGGCUCUUGAAGUCCUCUCAGCCUUAAAUCCACGGGGAAGUCUCCCCACCCCCCACCUCCCUGCACCCGCCUUGGGGAGGUUUGGUUGGAAGAAAACUGACCCUGAGUGCACCCUGGGCAAACUAGGGUGAAAGACCUGAUAUGGUCUGCAGGGUACUUAUUAACCACCGUUCAUUUGCAGGAUCGAUACUUCUGGCAAAGAAGUCAACACUGAAGAUAUACCACGUUGUCUGGCUCUUUCCUUGACACAACAAUUUAUUUAAUAAAUGCAUCUCCUGCAGAAGAAGGCACCAGGCACUGUGUCUUUUAUCUGCAGGAUAUGCAAAGCGCAUUUAUUCAGCUUUUAUCUCUGGAAUUGUAUGCUGAUCCCAUACAUAUAGAUUGAUUUUGUUCAGGUAGAUAAUGAAAAGUCAAGUGGAAAAUUACACAAUGGCACUCACGAUCCCGGUCUUAUAUCGGUAUAUAAAUUGGUUUAUUAUUUCAUUCUAUUAAAGGGGCUCCCCCCCUCAGGAAAACUUGAAAAUGCACUGUAUUGUCUGCCUGUCUGGAUUUUCUUGGGAGAAGGAGGUUGAAAGGAGAGGGAGGGCGAGAUGAUUUCCAUUUUUUCCAUUCUUUUGGUUAAUUGUACCGGAUAAGUAAGCAGCACCCGAGGGUGUCCUGGGGACUGUCUGCUUCCCACAGCCCACUUCAGAGUCAAGUCCAGGGCUUCUGUGAUUUAGACCAUUACGGAUGAAAAUAAAUCUGCCCCUCCCCAAGCAUCCUGCUACAGAGGUGUAUAUUUUUACCAAAGGCAAUUUAUAAUUUUGUCCUGGUGACUGAAAGUGGUAACUCCCUCUGGAGUGUGGGGAGGCCAGGGGUGAGAGGGUGACAGCAGGAGGAGGCCACCAUCCAGGGACAGCUCUGAGCUGGAAUCCUGGAGGAAACGUUAUUAAUAAACAUCUUCUGGACAUUUGGCAGCCCGUGGAGCUUGCUCCAGCUUAAAGCAAUUAAUUCAGGACACCGACAUCAACUCUCCAGGUCUUUGACAGCUUGGAGCCGAAAUAAAAAUGCUAGUUCUCCGGGGAAGAGGGGAGGAGGGCCCGCUCUUUGCUGGACUGUUUGCUUAUGGGCCCAGCGAGCAACCUUCCCUGCAGAAUGAAAUGCAAGGUCGCACACAACGAACCGGCAGAGAAUAGAAGAUGGGAACGAACAGUUUGAACUAUUUGCUCAGCAGAAGGGCACCACAAUGCUGGGGUAGUGGCUUUCCCAUGCAUCCACUGUCCCUUCUUUGGGAUCUUUUGUUGUCCCUGUCUCCUUUGGCCAGAUAAGAACACAGCUGCAGCCUUGCAGCUAAGUAAGGCUUCGCUUAUCCCCUUAAAUCUCGGGGUGUCUUUACUGUACCAGGCAUAGAUCAGCUCUUUCUUUUUUGACCAGGGGACUGGGAGGGAGGGAAUG